This 497-nucleotide ribosomal RNA is filed under the name uncultured bacterium. RNAcentral's name for it is "partial 16S ribosomal RNA". It matches the Rfam family "Bacterial small subunit ribosomal RNA", at positions 28 to 507 of the family's 1533-position model. The record is from RNAcentral.
GACGAACGCUGGCGGCGUGCCUAAUACAUGCAAGUUGAGCGCUGAAGGUUGGUACUUGUCCCGACUGGAUGAGCAGCGCACGGGUGAGUAACGCGUGGGGAAUCUGCCUUUGAGCGGGGGACAACAUUUGGAAACGAAUGCUAAUACCGCAUAAAAACUUUAAACACAAGUUUUAAGUUUGAAAGAUGCAAUUGCAUCACUCAAAGAUGAUCCCGCGUUGUAUUAGCUAGUUGGUGAGGUAAAGGCUCACCAAGGCGAUGAUACAUAGCCGACCUGAGAGGGUGGUCGGCCGGAGUGGGACUGAGACCCGGCCCAAACGCCUACGGGAGGCAGCAGUAGGGAAACUUCGGCAAUGGACGAAAGUCUGACCGAGCAACGCCGCGUGAGUGAAGAAGGUUGUCGGAUCGUAAAACUCUGUUGGUAGAGAAGAACGUUGGUGAGAGUGGAAAGCUCAUCAAGUGACGGUAACUACCCAGAAAGGGACGGCUAACUACGUG